UACGAAGGGGGCUAGCGUUGCUCGGAAUCACUGGGCGUAAAGCGCACGUAGGCGGCUUUCUAAGUCAGGGGUGAAAUCCUGGAGCUCAACUCCAGAACUGCCUUUGAUACUGGGGAGCUCGAGUCCGGAAGAGGUGAGUGGAACUCCGAGUGUAGAGGUGAAAUUCGUAGAUAUUCGCAAGAACACCAGUGGCGAAGGCGGCUCACUGGCCCGAUACUGACGCUGAGGCACGAAAGCGUGGGGAGCAAACAGG
RNAcentral lists this ribosomal RNA (253 nucleotides) under uncultured bacterium. RNAcentral describes it as "partial 16S ribosomal RNA". It matches the Rfam family "Bacterial small subunit ribosomal RNA", at positions 524 to 776 of the family's 1533-position model. The record is from RNAcentral.